CCCUACCUCUCCCGAGCCAGGGCCAGGGCCGGGAUGCUGAGAAGCCGAUCGAGGCCGACAGCGCAGAGAGGGGUCACCUCGGAGCUCCGAGGGUCAAAUUCCGAUGAGGCGCGGGGACCCGGCCGCGCCGUCCGGUCCCGACUCGGAGUUCUGAUAGAAGGCGGGGUCAGCACCGCCGCUCAGACCCGCUCGCGGGCUCGGGCUCCUAGUGCUUCGGGAUUCGGGAGGUGCGCGUGGCUCCCGCAGCUACGCUCCGGCUCGGCUCCGGCGGCGGCGCUCGGAGGGGCGGAGACCCCAGCGAUGCGAAGGAAACCUGGCGCGGAUCUGGAGCGGACUGUGCUGUGGCCGGGGGCUGGCUGGGACGCGGGGCAGGAGAUGGGGUGGCGGGGCGCGGGGGAAAGCGGAGCUGCCGUGGGCGGUGAGGUGGGCGCAGCUGGGUGGCCUCUAGCGUUGCAGAUGAGACCCCUCCCCUUGUCCCCGGUGGGGAGCGGGACUGAGGGUGGGGAGAUGUCUUGAGUUUUGGUGGAAUGGAGUGACAGAGUUAUCGCAUCGUGCCCGCAGCGUCUUUUAAGUUCGGUCCCGGGAGUUCGCCCCGUCGCUCAGUUCCCCUUCUCCAGGGCCCCUAGCAAAGUCAGCCAGGCUCUCCGAUCUCCGGCCGCCAGAUUAGUAAGAGCAGCUGGAAAGGGGACACGGAGCCGAACACCCUGCCCCGGUCGGAGAAACUGAUAGGGGAAACGGGAAACCCAAGACGGUUGGGAAGGGAGGAGACCCCAAGAGGCAGAAGCGGGACGCUGAAAGGAGCAGAGCGAGGCCUACUCUGGGCCAGAUGACUCCCGCGCCCCGGGGUCGCCGAGCAGACUCGCUCAGCUCCGCUCAGCCGCGGGCAUCUCACCCGCCGUCAGGCCGCAAGGCCCCCGCGGGGCAGCACGAGUGCACGGGGCCAUACACCUGUGAACUUCCAGGGACACCUGUGGACAUCCGAGUACACGAACACAGACCUCUGUGCACACGCCGGGCUCCUGUGCUGACCCCGUUUUAUGCUUUCCAAGGUGUUUGCUCCACAACCUGAUAAUCGGAUCCCAUUGGCUGAGCUAAUGUGACACGAUGGAGGAUUUGAAGUUCCCGGACUCCCGCAAGCAAAGCCACCCCAAGAGUUAAAGGGAUCAGAGCCAUCUCUUCAGUUCAAAGCCAAGCAGGCCAAUAGACUCGGGCCAUCGCCACCCACCCGCCAUGCCUGCAACCCCAGUUUUGUUGGGCUUGGAUUUCAGACAAAGAACUGAUGGGAGAUGAAGUCCCCGCCUCCCUCCCCCACCCCUACUCCUAUACAAAGGUCUCAUUACUCACCUACAACCUGGCACAACCCCACUGCUCCAGAGAAAGGCAUCUACUGCUCACAGGGAAGAAGGGCAGGGGGCUUCUUGGAGGAAGAUCUGAUCCUCGCACCCUAGCUCUUGGUAGCUGGUUCUCACUGAUGAGAGUCCAUUUGCCCCUCAGGGUAAGAAUCCAGGGAAAAACACACAUAAUGCUGAUCUUGAAGUCUGGGCUCUUCAUAAACAUACAAUAACUAGGUCCUGCUUUCCAAAAAGGGCCAGACCAGAUCACAUGCAGCGUUUUCCAAGCCAAUGGUUGAGAAAGCAACUCUUAAGCCCCUUCCCCCUCAUAAGAUCAGAGUUGGGAGAAGAAAGAGAAAGAGGUUUGGGGAGGACUUUUAGAGCCCUACCUGCAAAGGGGAAGUCAACCAGGUUGGUGGUGAAAGGCUUUAAGACUCAAAGGACCUUGCGAUGUCCCCAGUGUUUAGGGGCUGUGCUUGUGCGAGAAAUGGAGUGACUGACUAGCUAUGCCCAUCCAUGAAAGAAGGGUGGACAAGUGGAUGCCCUCCAAGUGUAUCUAGGCCAAGGAUGCCCAAGCCUGGAGCUGUUUUUGUUUUUUUUUCCCCAUCCCUCUCUCCCAUCUCUCUUUUCAUCCUCUGACCUGGGAGAGUGAUGGAGUUCCUACAGGGAAACCUACAUGGAAUCCAUGGGCAGAAAACCAGGGCCCAAUGCUGAGGUAUGGAAGUUCCCAGGGGACCUUAAGGGAAAACUCCAAAGAAGCCAUGAGAAGACUCACAAGGGAAAGAAAUUAGCUUCAAAGACCUGGAGCCCAGAGAACACAGGACAGAGCAAUCAAGAACUUGGGGGCUCCCUUUCCACUGGUGAGUGAGGGGGUGGCGUGACAUCCCUCCACUGCCUCUAUUUCUGGCCAAGCAGGUGCCCCCCCGCCAACUCCCACCCCCUGCUUGCAGCCAACUCACCCUCACUCUAGACAGGAAAUUUCUGUCCGUGAUGAAGAUCGAAGUGUUGAUUGCUAAUCCCACUGAGGUUUUCUAGGUACCAACAUUAGUGAAUGUAGAACUCAUCUAUCACCUGAGAAGGGCCCAGAUAAGUUACAGGACUGCCAAGAUUUUUAUCUAGCGACAAAAGAAAAAUUCUUCCACUGAAUAAACUCUGAGAUGGCAGAAGAC
This is a long non-coding RNA of Bos taurus (domestic cattle), 2500 nucleotides long. NCBI's taxonomy places the organism in Eukaryota, Metazoa, Chordata, Mammalia, Artiodactyla, Bovidae. The record is from Ensembl.